CCGGCGAACGGGUGCGUAACACGUGAACAACCUGCCCUCGUGUGGGGGAUAGCCAUGCUAACGCGUGGGUAAUACCGCAUACGUUCUUCUGGAGGAGUCUCCGGGGGAAGAAAGCUCUGGCGCACGGGGAGGGGUUCGCGGCCUAUCAGCUAGUUGGGGGGUAACGGCCUCCCAAGGCGACGACGGGUAGCUGGUCUGAGAGGAUGGCCAGCCACAUUGGGACUGAGAUACGGCCCAG
Molecule: ribosomal RNA, 238 nt
Filed under: uncultured bacterium
Lineage: Bacteria
Description: partial 16S ribosomal RNA
Rfam family: Bacterial small subunit ribosomal RNA
Source: RNAcentral